UGUUGCCUCAGCCCGUGCGACUAGCUGUCCCAUGGGGACUCGCUGUCCACGGAAUUUUCCAGGCAAGAAUACCUGAGAUGCUGGCAACAACACUAGCAGCAGCAGUUAAAGCAUUGGAGGAAAUAUAACUAAAUUUCUCCAUUGAGAAACCUCAGAUGGACCCCAAGCCUUCCACAGGAAUGUGGCCUGAUCCUGAGCCUGAUACUUCUCCAAAUGAUUCUUGUACAAAAUGGAAAAAGGU
Molecule: non-coding RNA, 241 nt
Organism: Odocoileus virginianus texanus
Lineage: Eukaryota; Metazoa; Chordata; Mammalia; Artiodactyla; Cervidae
Source: RefSeq, a predicted model, not a curated record